RNAcentral lists this ribosomal RNA (383 nucleotides) under uncultured eukaryote. Its description in RNAcentral is "partial 18S ribosomal RNA". It matches the Rfam family "Eukaryotic small subunit ribosomal RNA", at positions 592 to 976 of the family's 1831-position model. The record is from RNAcentral.
CAAUAGCGUAUAUUAAAGUUGUUGCAGUUAAAAAGCUCGUAGUUGGAUUUCUGGUGGGAGCGAUCGGUCUGGCGCUUAGCGCGAGUACUUGCAUCGUCUCCGGCCAUCCUUGGGGAGAGUCUGUCUGGCAUUAAGUUGUCGGGCAGAGGAUCCUCAUCGUUUCCUGUGAAAAAAUUAGAGUGUUCAAAGCAGGCUUAUGCCGUUGAAUAUAUUAGCAUGGAAUAAUAAGAUAGGACUUUGGUACUAUUUUGUUGGUUUGCGCACCAAAGUAAUGAUUAAUAGGGACAGUUGGGGGUAUUCGUAUUCCGUUGUCAGAGGUGAAAUUCUUGGAUUUACGGAAGACGAACUACUGCGAAAGCAUUUACCAAGGAUGUUUUCAUUAA